RNAcentral lists this microRNA (22 nucleotides) under Paralichthys olivaceus (Japanese flounder). Its description in RNAcentral is "miR-307". Lineage: Eukaryota; Metazoa; Chordata; Actinopteri; Pleuronectiformes; Paralichthyidae. The record is from RNAcentral.
UGUUUUGUGAAAACCUCAAAGU